Molecule: transfer RNA, 72 nt
Organism: Ipomoea nil (Japanese morning glory)
Lineage: Eukaryota; Viridiplantae; Streptophyta; Magnoliopsida; Solanales; Convolvulaceae
Rfam family: tRNA
About the family: Transfer RNA (tRNA) molecules are approximately 80 nucleotides in length. Their secondary structure includes four short double-helical elements and three loops (D, anti-codon, and T loops).
Source: Rfam
UUUGUUGUCGUCCAGCGGUUAGGAUAUCUGGGUUUCGCCCAGGAGAUCCGGGUCCUAUUCCCGACAACGGAA